RNAcentral lists this ribosomal RNA (497 nucleotides) under uncultured bacterium. RNAcentral's name for it is "partial 16S ribosomal RNA". It matches the Rfam family "Bacterial small subunit ribosomal RNA", at positions 28 to 507 of the family's 1533-position model. The record is from RNAcentral.
GAUGAACGCUGGCGGCGUGCCUAAUACAUGCAAGUCGAGCGAACAGACGAGGAGCUUACUCCUCUGACGUUAGCGGCGGACGGGUGAGUAACACGUGGAUAACCUACCUAUAAGACUGGGAUAACUUCGGGAAACCGGAGCUAAUACCGGAUAACAUGUUGAACCGCAUGGUUCAACAGUGAAAGACGGUCUUGCUGUCACUUAUAGAUGGAUCCGCGUCGCAUUAGCUAGUUGGUAAGGUAACGGCUUACCAAGGCAACGAUGCGUAGCCGACCUGAGAGGGUGAUCGGCCACACUGGAACUUAGACACGGUCCAGACUCCUACGGGAGGCAGCAGUAGGGAAUCUUCCGCAAUGGGCGAAAGCCUGACGGAGCAACGCCGCGUGAGUGAAGAAGGUCUUCGGAUCGUAAAACUCUGUUAUUAGGGAAGAACAAAUGUGUAAGUAACUAUGCACGUCUUGACGGUACCUAAUCAGAAAGCCACGGCUAACUACGUG